Molecule: ribosomal RNA, 253 nt
Filed under: uncultured prokaryote
Description: partial 16S ribosomal RNA
Rfam family: Bacterial small subunit ribosomal RNA
Source: RNAcentral
UACAGAGGAUGCAAGCGUUAAUCGGAAUUACUGGGCGUAAAGCGUGCGUAGACGGUUAUUUAAGUCAGGUGUGAAAGCCCCGGGCUCAACCUGGGAAUUGCAUUUGAGACUGAAUAGCUAGGGUGCGGAAGAGGGAAGCGGAAUUUCCGGUGUAGCGGUGAAAUGCGUAGAUAUCGUCAAGAACACCGAUAGCGAAGGCAGCUUACUAAGCUGUAACUGACGCUGAGGCACGAAAGUGUGGGGAUCAAACAGG